Molecule: unclassified non-coding RNA, 332 nt
Filed under: soil metagenome
Description: partial contains 5.8S ribosomal RNA, internal transcribed spacer 2, and large subunit ribosomal RNA
Rfam family: 5.8S ribosomal RNA (bases 1-120)
Source: RNAcentral
GAUGAAGAACGCAGCGAAAUGCGAUAAGUAAUGUGAAUUGCAGAAUUCAGUGAAUCAUCGAAUCUUUGAACGCGCAUUGCGCCCCUUGGUAUUCCGGGGGGCAUGCCUGUUCGAGCGUCAUUUCAACCCUCAAGCUCUGCUUGGUAUUGGGCCCGGUGGGCGAUUGCCUACCAGCCUUAAAGAGAGUGGCGGUGCCCCGCGGCCCUGAGCGUAGUAACUACUCCCGCUAUAGGUGUCCACGGGCUCACCAGCCAGCAACCCCAACUUUCUAUGGUUGACCUCGGAUCAGGUAGGGAUACCCGCUGAACUUAAGCAUAUCAAUAAGCGGAGGA